CAUUUAUUCAGACAAGUUUAUCGAUCUAUACAUACAAUACAUGCUUAUUUAUCGUAAUAUUACGCCUUACAUUGGAGUUUGAAGCCAUUAGAUCUAACGCAGUUCACCAAACGGUCGAACAAAGAUAAAAGAUGGAAUAAUCGUAUUAUCACCCUGUAUAUAACACCUUUGAUUGUAUUUCUACCCUAGAAAAACCAAAAAGCAUCCCAGCUUCAACGCGUACCCAACUCCCAGCCUCCCCGAUUCGGAAUCGAAGCUCCACCCGCGUCCAAUCGUCUCUCGCGUCGCGGAACGAAAUGGGGAAUCCCUCAUUCGACGAGGAUUCUCUUCAGUUUGGUGGGAAAUUGAACAACAAACACACGCCGCCGAGCGAAACUAGUUCUUACCGAGACGUUGCGUAAACACAAUCGAUCGACAAUGAGCGUUAACUCGAACCGCGAGCUAGGCACGGAUCCGACACGAGGAAUAACACGGGACAGACAACGACAAACCAGUCGGCAGGUAGUUGCCCGACUGGGUACCGGAUCCAGGCGAUAUUUUUCUGCACGUCCCCGCGGCGCUGCUUCUCGACCAGGCUCCGAAGGUGAAGGCGAUGGAAGCGGUCCCGCGCGUGUUUACGAGCUGGAAACGACUUGCCAAGCAUCCGCGAGAAAAGGGCGGACGAGGCCGCGACAGAGAUCCGGGAUUCCUGGAAAUUACCACCUUCGGGGCCUCUCUCCCGCCAUUGCUCGCCAACCAGAAUCGCGGCUUGCGCCAUGUCGUGGACCGGUUUAACAAGCUUCGAUUCGGAUAAGCGAAACGGCCGAUGCCUUUGAUCUUUUUUGGGUCUGAAUUUCGACGACCUUGACUUGCUUACGAGUGCGCUCGCCCACUCGCGGAACUCGAUCGAUCCCGAUCGACGCCUCCGCGGCGUCCAAUCCGGAUCCAUUUCGGCAACACUGGAUCCUGACGGGUUUCGGAUCGUUCGGGAAAGUGGUCUCUUCGAUCUUGAAUUUCGACGACCUUGAAUCGUUCCACCCUCGUCUGGCAGAUGCAGGAUCGCUUCGAACCGGCUGCGAUCAUUCUCGUGAAAGAAUACGGUCGAUCGAGAAGUUUUAAACGAAGCUCUAGACGCAGGGCUCCACCGAGCAACGAUUAUCGGGCAGACGACGAGAAAACGACAUAAACUCGGUGUACAGCGUCCCGGAGGCGACUCGUCGAUCCGCGGAGGACGUUGGAGCGUUGUAACGGCUGCGGUAAAUUUCACGGGCGCACCAGGAUACGCCGAUCCUGUUUGCGCGUUCCACGCACGCUUUGAGGAAAAUAUUCCCCUUCGUCGUGGCUCGCAAGACGACGUAACCUGUUGCUGGACUCUGAGAGGGAGUGCAGUUUACGUCCAUCCGCCUCGUAAAACGUAAUGGUUAAGUGGCAGCCAGAUACGAUCAGCGCGGGCUACAGAAUGGACAGGCAAACGAUGCACCGUAUAAAGGACCCGAAACGACCAGCUCUGAGCACGGCGUAUGAAAACUGCAUAGGCUGAAUCCGUUUUCCCGGUCUUGUCGCUGCGCCUAAUGACGCGGACGAAGAGGAAAGUGGCCCCGAACGACUGGCACCAGGUUCCCUGCGUCGCGGGGAAGAUCUAGAAACCUUCCUCCUUCGAAAGCUAGCAGGUCGGCCUGCCGAAGGUGCAACAAAAAGGAGAGUCCUUGGAGGGAAAGGUGGGAUAGAAGAAAGAAACGAAAGAAAGAACAACCGUCGACGGUGAUCGCGCGGAUUUGCGGGCGCAAACAUUCACCAGGUCGAGCAGGGAGGAAGGCACACUUGGUGGGGAGAGCCUUCUGAUUACGAAGGGGACUCUCGUCCUGACUCCUGGUUACAAGGAGACGAGGAGAGGGGUACGAAGGAUUGCGCAACAAUGCGCUGCCACCUGCACUCGUUUCGUCACACAGCUUCAACUGGCUCGACGGUGGUUGGCCGGCUCGCAUUACUUUCGCCAAUUAAGCCUGCGGACGGUCGUUGUUGUUCAACUUGAAUAUGAAAUUCCACGAUUAUGCCGAAUUCCAGUACAAUGAAUGCAUCGACCGCCGGUGACCAUCCUGAGGAAAUUUGAUUAGGACCUGGCACACUCCCCUGGCGCAUCGACUACAAAGAUGAACUCCAAGGAACGUCACCUAAUUUUUAAGAAAUUUCGAAUUAACACGUUUAAGAAUAUUAGAUACCUUGCUCCUUUUAUUAACUGAUCCUCAUACCUGGAGACUGAUGUUGUUUAUGUAUUAUUCGUUAUACGUUAUAAGUACACUGCAGGCUUUUAUGCAUUUAUAAGAAAUUUGAAUGUGCGAGAAAGUACAAAAUGCACACGGUAUACGAUAAUAUAAAGAAAUAUUGAAUUUAUGCAUUUAUAAGGAAUUUGUAUGCGCGAGAAAGUACAAAAUGCACACGGUAUACGAUAAUAUAAAGAAAUAUUAAAAUAGAUUUAUUUUGAUAAACUAAAUCUGAAAGAUAACGCAUCUCAUCUAGUAUUCGAAGAGGGUGUUAAAGUAGCAAAUCGAUUCGUCGCGGAAAAACUAGGAAGGCAUGGAUAUAAAUUUGAAAUAUCGAAUCAGUCUCGAUUGCCUUAACCUUGUUACGUUAUUUCAUGCGUCUAUUCCCAUACUCGUUGUUGAUCGAAGUAUGACGUCAAUUAUACGAAUUAAAUACACUGGUAAGGAUAUUUUCGCUAUGCGACCUUCUCGAUGAAGAUAGUAACGUCUGAUUUCCAGGCUUAGUUGAUAGCGAUAAGGCGCAUUCAAAUAUGCAGCACGAAGGGACAGAGAAAGAAUUGUUGACAAAUAUCGAUUGCCCUCUCAAAUUGAUACUGAAUUACAUUCGAAAUGCAGUAAACUUGGAAAAUACCAGUAAGCAAAAACCGAAUUUUCGAUUAUUUCUAAAAUGUAAAGAAGUAGAUAUUUUCAGCCGAAUUCGAUUUAUGUGACGAGAUUAGUUGUCAAUUAAGAAAAGUUUCCUUCUUCGAGCCUCGCACAUCUGGUCUCGACAUCUUUGAUGCCGAUUUAACAUAUUUAAUAGUCAUACAUCAACGGGACUCAAAUGGCCAAAUGAUAAAUUUCACACCACUCCUUACUGGAAAAACGGCGAAAAGAUGCACCGACAUACUAUUAAAGAAUCAUACGUCGCAUAGAAAAGGUUCAUCUGUGAAAUCCACAUUGAAAAUAAAACCAUAAUACAAAUAGAUUGUUACAAUAAUGGUUAUGGGAAAUUGAUAAAUAACUGAUAAUGUAUUGAUAAUAAUUGUAUUUCAAACUUCUUUAUACAAAUUUCUAUGUACAUUUUUGUGUGUAUUUGUCUCUUCUGAGAAGGUCAGUC
This is a long non-coding RNA of Hylaeus anthracinus, 3339 nucleotides long. RefSeq lists it as uncharacterized. NCBI's taxonomy places the organism in Eukaryota, Metazoa, Arthropoda, Insecta, Hymenoptera, Colletidae. The record is from RefSeq and is a predicted model, not a curated record. The transcript has 5 exons.